CAGAUAUUAGUCAAUGCUCGAAAGAGUGAACUAGCUAACUGRAAUCAAUUAUAAUAAUUGGAUAACAUAAGGGAAAAUAAUGGAUAUUACCUUAUUAUUAGUGUCGUCCAAAUCUGGUGCCAGAAGACUCGGUAAGGCCAGAGACACAAACGUUAAUCGUCUUAAUCAGGCGUAAAGGGUUUGUAGGCGGCUUUAAAAUUUACUUAUAAAAAAAUAAAUAAUAAGUAAAGAAUAAAAGCUAGAAUCAAAUAGAGGAUAUAUUAAAUAAUGCUUAGAGUAGGUCUGAUAUCCUUAGAUACUAAGUAGAAUAUUAAAGGCGAAAGCUUUUUUCCAUUAAUGAUUGACGCUGAGAAACGAAGGUGAGGAUAGGAAAUAGGAUUAGAUACCCAGAAUACCCCUCUCUGUCAACGAUGAAUGGUAGUUAUUAGUAUAAAUAUAUUAAUGGCAAUGUUAACACGAUAACCAUUCCGCCUUGUGAGUACAACUGCAAAGUUGAAAACAAAAAAAUUAGUCGGUUUCGGAGCAAACGAAGUGAAGCAUGUUAUUUAAUAAAUAA
RNAcentral lists this ribosomal RNA (556 nucleotides) under Russula sp. HMAS 276795. RNAcentral's name for it is "partial 12S ribosomal RNA". It matches the Rfam family "Bacterial small subunit ribosomal RNA", at positions 358 to 956 of the family's 1533-position model. Lineage: Eukaryota; Fungi; Basidiomycota; Agaricomycetes; Russulales; Russulaceae. The record is from RNAcentral.